This 617-nucleotide long non-coding RNA is filed under the name Helianthus annuus (common sunflower). RNAcentral describes it as "hypothetical non coding rna". Lineage: Eukaryota; Viridiplantae; Streptophyta; Magnoliopsida; Asterales; Asteraceae. The record is from RNAcentral.
UCUCUUUCUCUGUUAAUCUCUAAUCACAACUUUCUUAGCAGCCAUUCAAGAACUCCGUUUUAGAUUUAGCGUUGUGGAGAGUUUUGGAGUGUUCGUGUGAGGUUUGGAGCAGGUUGUGGAGUGUUUCGAGGCUGUGGUGGCGGGACGAUGAACAUCUUCGAAGAACUCCAUUAAUUUUUCUAGGUUUACGCCGCCGCUGGACGGUGGAUUUCCGGUCAUCUCAAGGCUGUGGUGGCAGGACGGUGGCGAAGAGAUUUCUUCGUUGCAGAAACUUGAGAAGGAUCUGGAAAACAGAUGGUUCAUGUUGAUGUAAAUUUGGAACUUGAAAGAUGAAAAUUGAACGUUGUGGUGAUUGGAGAUAAAGGUGAAGGUGAGGUAGGUAUAGAUGGGGGAAAUGGAGUGGUGUUCUUGAAUGUCAGCUAAGAGAGGUGGAUUUUGUUGAUAGUUCAACUGUAAGAAAAAGUCAACGAAGAAGAUUGAAGAAGAUAAAGGGGUGUGCAAUGGUGGAUUGGCAGAUUUGGGGUGAUUGCUGUGGUGGCCGGAUAUGGUGGGAGGAGGUGAUCGGUUGUUAUGGAGAAAGAACAAGAGGGGAAGAUGCAAAGACUAAACCCAAUUAA